This 465-nucleotide ribosomal RNA is filed under the name uncultured bacterium. RNAcentral's name for it is "bacterial SSU rRNA". It matches the Rfam family "Bacterial small subunit ribosomal RNA", at positions 917 to 1382 of the family's 1533-position model. The record is from RNAcentral.
GGGCCCGCACAAGCAGCGGAGCAUGUGGUUUAAUUCGAAGCAACGCGAAGAACCUUACCAGGUCUUGACAUCCAGUUAAAGCCAUAGAGAUAUGGUGUGCCUUCGGGCGAACUGAGACAGGUGGUGCAUGGUUGUCGUCAGCUCGUGUCGUGAGAUGUUGGGUUAAGUCCCGCAACGAGCGCAACCCUUAUUUUUAGUUACUAACGCGUUGUGGCGAGGACUCUAAAGAGACUGCCGGGGACAACUCGGAGGAAGGUGGGGACGACGUCAAAUCAUCAUGCCCCUUAUGACCUGGGCUACACACGUGCUACAAUGGCCACUACAAAGAGGAGCGAGCCCGAGAGGGGGAGCGAAUCUCAUAAAAGUGGUCCCAGUUCAGAUCGUGGGCUGCAACCCGCCCACGUGAAGUCGGAGUUGCUAGUAAUCGCGGAUCAGCAUGCCGCGGUGAAUACGUUCCCGGGCCUU